AUGGGGACGUGGACCCACGUCGUGAGGGCAACUUCGGCGGCCCACUCCGGCGAGAGCGCGGCCGCAGUCGCCAGGCGCGUGCUAACAAGCUUCAUGAGGGCGACCGCAGUCUGCGUCCGGGCGGCCAAGGCAGCCCAAACGACCAUUGUUGCUUCUCAGGCGGUGGCAGCAGCAUCUGCCUCGGGGAUAGCAACUGGCGAGAGCGGCACAGUAGCUGUCCAUUCCGCAGCGGCGGCCUUCGCCCUGAUGGAGGCCGCCCACUACCAUGUCGAGGCCGUCUACGCCCAGCUCGUGGUUGUCACCGUACAAAUCGAACGAAGCUUCUCUGACAACGGUCGGCAACCGACGGCCGAAGAGCUGGCAAUCUCUGACAACGGUGCCACGACGGAGCCCGCCAGAGCCCAGAUAACGGCCGCCCAUGCCCAGCUCGUGACGGCCUAUGCCAAAGAUAUGGCGGACGCGGACGGCGAGAUGCUUGCCGAGUAUGGUGCAAUUGAUGCCAUGGAGCCCCUUCCCCAGGAGACCGUCGGGCGCGAGCUGGACAUGGAGGCGGUGGCAGAGAUCAACGAGCACCAGCCGUAUUUUUCUUCUCUUCGUAAUUGUACCGACUAUAUUCGGGCUACCUCGGAUUCAAAAUGGUUCAUAAUGCAGGGUUCGUUGUAUAAACCUCUGUGUGAUGAUGCACUCAAACCAACAGUAGGCAUGACAUUUGAUGAUAUUGCUGCCGUGGAGACAUUUUAUAAGAAGUAUGCACAGCAUGUGGGAUUUGGUGUCCGCAUUGGAGCACAAAGGCUUGUGAAGAAUGUAAUUAUGUGGAAGCAUUUCUUAUGCUCAAGGGAGGGAUACCGGUCCACAAAAGAUGCAACUAGCAGGAAAAACUACAAACAUUUCCAUGAUGUGUUGUCCUUUGAUUCCACAUAUAGCACUAAUCAGUAUGACUACAUUUUUGCGCCCUUCACGGGUAUCAACCAUCAUAUGCAAGAUAUCCUUAAAUGCAUGGAUGGGGUUGCACCUAGUGUUAUUAUAACGGAUGAGUGUGGUAGCAUGAGGAACGCUAUCAAGGCACUUCUACCCCAUACCACGCAUCGGUUGUGCAUGUGGCAAAUUAUGAAGAAGGUACUUGCUGCUAGAGAGCAUUGUGAUGUCCAGGAUACUACGACUGUGGGGGAGCUGAAGAUUGUUUCCAUUAGUGAUCAAAGUCAUCGGAAAAAUAAGGUAAGAGACAUGCAUUUAGAGACAACAACCAUGAUUGCUAAAUGUUCUUGCAAGCUCUUUGAGUCCAAGGGCAUUGUGUGCCACCAUGUCAUACGCGUCUUGAGGGGUGCAAAGAGAAAUGAGCUUCCAACCUUUUAUGUUCUCAAAAGAUGGGAGAAAAUGUGCAAAAGGGAUAUUGUAUUUGACAACGAAGGGUAUGCACUUGAAGAUAAUCUGAUUGACCGCAUUGACAUGGAUACCAGAAGAAAGAUCUCGAUGGCACGGAACAAGUUAGAAGAUAUCUUCCAAUGUGCUAAAAAAUCGAGCGUAACACUUGACUCACUCAAUACGGGUCUGUGCAAUCUUGAAUCUGUUGUCUUGCAGUCUGCCUUCGUUGUUCCUCAAACUACACAAGAAGAACAAGAAUCAUACGUUGGUAGCACCUUGCUUGCCCAAGUUGAUAUCCUAACACCGACCGUUGUCAAUGCGAGGGGUACAUGCUCACGAAUUAAGGGCCACAGAGACAAUGAAAAGAAGGCAUGGUCAAAUAAGAAGAAAUUAGGGGUUACUCUACGGGUGCCGCACACUUGCAGAACAUGCAAGGAAGUUGUGUUACAUGACAGUCGUGUCUGUCCGAUGAAAAAAUAA
This 1842-nucleotide ribosomal RNA is filed under the name Triticum aestivum (bread wheat). Its description in RNAcentral is "partial small subunit ribosomal RNA". The record is from RNAcentral. Lineage: Eukaryota; Viridiplantae; Streptophyta; Magnoliopsida; Poales; Poaceae.